AACCCAUGUCGAGGACAUUUUCACAGGAGUUCCUUGAUCCUUUCCCAUGUCUCAAAUAGAGACUCUAAUUCCAUUUGCAUGAAGGAAGAAAUCUUAUUCCUAAGUUU
Molecule: small nucleolar RNA, 107 nt
Organism: Dioscorea cayenensis subsp. rotundata (Guinea yam)
Lineage: Eukaryota; Viridiplantae; Streptophyta; Magnoliopsida; Dioscoreales; Dioscoreaceae
Source: RefSeq, a predicted model, not a curated record